CAGCAGCCGCGGUAAUACCGGCGGCCCGAGUGGCGGCCACUAUUAUUGGGCCUAAAGCGUCCGUAGCCGGGCUGGUAAGUCCUCCGGGAAAUCUGGUCGCUUAACGAUCAGACUUCCGGAGGAUACUGCUGGCCUAGGGACCGGGAGAGGCCGGGGGGAUUCCCGGGGUAGGGGUGAAAUCCUGUAAUCCCGGGAGGACCACCUGUGGCGAAGGCGCUCGGCUGGAACGGGUCCGACGGUGAGGGACGAAGGCCAGGGGAGCGAACCGGAUUAGAUACCCGGGUAGUCCUGGCGGUAAACGAUGCGGACUAGGUGUCGGGCAAGCUAAGGGCUUGUCCGGUGCCGCAGGGAAGCCGUUAAGUCCGCCGCCUGGGGAGUACGGCCGCAAGGCUGAAACUUAAAGGAAUUGGCGGG
RNAcentral lists this ribosomal RNA (414 nucleotides) under uncultured microorganism. RNAcentral describes it as "bacterial SSU rRNA". It matches the Rfam family "Archaeal small subunit ribosomal RNA", at positions 459 to 872 of the family's 1478-position model. The record is from RNAcentral.